GUAGGUGGCAAGCGUUGUCCGGAAUUAUUGGGGCGUAAAGCGCGCGCAGGCGGUUUUUUAAGUCUGAUGUGAAAGCCCACGGGCUCAACCGUGGAGGGUCAUUGGAAACUGGAGAACUUGAGUACAGAAGAGGAAAGCAGAAUUCCACGUGUAGCGGUGAAAUGCGUAGAGAUGUGGAGGAACACCAGUGGCGAAGGCGGCUUUCUGGUCUGUAACUGACGCUGAGGCGCGAAAGCGUGGGGAGCAAACAGGAUUAGAUACCCUGGUAGUCCACGCCGUAAACGAUGAGUGCUAAGUGUUAGGGGGUUUCCGCCCCUUAGUGCUGCAGCUAACGCAUUAAGCACUCCGCCUGGGGAGUACGGCCGCAAAGGCUG
This 374-nucleotide ribosomal RNA is filed under the name uncultured organism. RNAcentral's name for it is "partial 16S ribosomal RNA". It matches the Rfam family "Bacterial small subunit ribosomal RNA", at positions 527 to 896 of the family's 1533-position model. The record is from RNAcentral.